Molecule: small nucleolar RNA, 79 nt
Organism: Triplophysa rosa
Lineage: Eukaryota; Metazoa; Chordata; Actinopteri; Cypriniformes; Nemacheilidae
Product: small nucleolar RNA SNORD72
Exons: 1
Source: RefSeq, a predicted model, not a curated record
CGCUUACCUGUGAUGACCAAAAAAUAAAUGUCUGAACAAAUGACUGUCUAGUGAUAUUAGUUUUAAACUGAGGUAAGCC